UACGAAGGGGGCUAGCGUUGCUCGGAAUCACUGGGCGUAAAGCGCACGUAGGCGGAUUGCUAAGUCAGGGGUGAAAUCCUGGAGCUCAACUCCAGAACUGCCCUUGAUACUGGCGAUCUCGAGUCCGGGAGAGGUGAGUGAAACUGCGAGUGUAGAGGUGAAAUUCGUAGAUAUUCGCAAGAACACCAGUGGCGAAGGCGGCUCACUGGCCCGGUACUGACGCUGAGGUGCGAAAGCGUGGGGAGCAAACAGG
Molecule: ribosomal RNA, 253 nt
Filed under: uncultured bacterium
Lineage: Bacteria
Description: partial 16S ribosomal RNA
Rfam family: Bacterial small subunit ribosomal RNA
Source: RNAcentral